Molecule: ribosomal RNA, 445 nt
Filed under: uncultured bacterium
Lineage: Bacteria
Description: partial 16S ribosomal RNA
Rfam family: Bacterial small subunit ribosomal RNA
Source: RNAcentral
GUAAGGAAUAUUGGUCAAUGGACGAAAGUCUGAACCAGCCAUGCCGCGUGGAGGAUGAAGGUCCUCUGGAUUGUAAACUUCUUUUAUAUGGGACGAAAAUGGGGCUUUCUAGCUCAACUGACGGUACCAUAUGAAUAAGCACCGGCUAACUCCGUGCCAGCAGCCGCGGUAAUACGGAGGGUGCAAGCGUUAUCCGGAUUCACUGGGUUUAAAGGGUGCGUAGGUGGAUUGGUAAGUCAGAGGUGAAAUCUCCGGGCUCAACUCGGAAACUGCCUUUGAUACUAUCAAUCUUGAAUAUUGUGGAGGUUAGCGGAAUAUGUCAUGUAGCGGUGAAAUGCUUAGAUAUGACAUAGAACACCAAUUGCGAAGGCAGCUGGCUACACAUAUAUUGACACUGAGGCACGAAAGCGUGGGGAUCAAACAGGAUUAGAAACCCUUGUAGUCC